UACGAGGGGCGCAAGCGUUGCUCGGAAUCAUUGGGCGUAAAGCGUGCGCAUGCGGUCUGUUAAGUUAGAUGUGAAAGCCUGGGGCUCAACCUCAGAACUGCAUUUAAAACUGGCAGACUAGAGUACGAAAGAGGAAAGCGGAAUUCUUGGUGGAGAGGUGAAAUUCAUUGAUAUCAAGAGGAACACCGGUGGCGAAAGCGGCUUUCUGGUUCGAUACUGACGCUCAUGCACGAAAGCAUGGGUAGCAAACAGG
This 253-nucleotide ribosomal RNA is filed under the name uncultured bacterium. Its description in RNAcentral is "partial 16S ribosomal RNA". It matches the Rfam family "Bacterial small subunit ribosomal RNA", at positions 524 to 776 of the family's 1533-position model. The record is from RNAcentral.